RNAcentral lists this ribosomal RNA (741 nucleotides) under uncultured bacterium. RNAcentral's name for it is "bacterial SSU rRNA". It matches the Rfam family "Bacterial small subunit ribosomal RNA", at positions 8 to 733 of the family's 1533-position model. The record is from RNAcentral.
AGGGUUUGAUCAUGGCUCAGGACGAACGCUGGCGGCGUGCUUGAUACAUGCAAGUCAAGGAGAACGUUUUCUUCGGAAAAUUAUUAAACUGGCGAACGGGUGAGUAACACGUAGGUAACCUGCCGUAAAGAUUGGGAUAACUCCGGGAAACCGGGGCUAAUACCGAAUAAAGCAAAUUACUCGCAUGAGUAUUUUGUUAAAGCGGGCUUCGGCUCGCACUUUAUGAUGGGCCUGCGUCCGAUUAGCUUGUUGGUGAGGUAAAUGCUUACCAAGGCCAUGAUCGGUAGCUGGUCUGAGAGGAUGAUCAGCCACACUGGGAUUGAGAUACGGCCCAGACUCCUACGGGAGGCAGCAGUAAGGAAUUUUGCACAAUGGACGAAAGUCUGAUGCAGCAACGCCGCGUGAUUGAUGAAGCUUUUAGGAGUGUAAAGAUCUGUCGUGAGGGAAGAAAAAUUUAGAUGUAAAUAAUGUUUAAACUUGACGGUACCUUACAAGAAAGCACCGGCUAACUUCGUGCCAGCAGCCGCGGUAAUACGAGGGGUGCUAGCGUUGUCCGGAAUAACUGGGCGUAAAGGGUCCGUAGGCGUUUUGCCAAGUUGACCGUUAAAUCCAUCGGCUUAACCGAUGAACUGCGGUCAAAACUGGUAGAAUAGAAUAUGUGAGGGGAAUGUGGAAUUCCUGGUGUAGCGGUGACAUGCGUAGAUAUCAGAGGAACACCGAUGGCGAAAGCAGCAUUCUGGC